Molecule: ribosomal RNA, 301 nt
Filed under: uncultured bacterium
Lineage: Bacteria
Description: partial 16S ribosomal RNA
Rfam family: Bacterial small subunit ribosomal RNA
Source: RNAcentral
CAGCCGCCGCGGUAAUACGGAGGGCGCGAGCGUUACCCGGAUUUACUGGGCGUAAAGGGCGUGUAGGCGGCCUGGGGCGUCCCAUGUGAAAGGCCACGGCUCAACCGUGGAGGAGCGUGGGAUACGCUCAGGCUAGAGGGUGGGAGAGGGUGGUGGAAUUCCCGGAGUAGCGGUGAAAUGCGCAGAUACCGGGAGGAACGCCGAUGGCGAAGGCAGCCACCUGGUCCACUUCUGACGCUGAGGCGCGAAAGCGUGGAGAGCAAACCGGAUUAGAGACCCGCGUAGUCCCUGUCUCUUAUAC